This is a non-coding RNA of Crenichthys baileyi (White River springfish), 75 nucleotides long. The record is from the annotation of a GenBank genome assembly. Lineage: Eukaryota; Metazoa; Chordata; Actinopteri; Cyprinodontiformes; Goodeidae.
GGCUAAACAGUGGCGCAGUUGGUAGCACUGUUGCCCAGGAAGAAGGUCCUGGGUUCGAAUCCCAGCCUGGGGUCU